UGGGGAAUUUUGGACAAUGGGGGCAACCCUGAUCCAGCAAUGCCGCGUGCAGGAUGAAGGCCUUCGGGUUGUAAACUGCUUUUGUACAGAACGAAAAAGCCGCUUUUAAUACAGGUGGUGAAUGACGGUACUGUAAGAAUAAGCACCGGCUAACUACGUGCCAGCAGCCGCGGUAAUACGUAGGGUGCGAGCGUUAAUCGGAAUUACUGGGCGUAAAGCGUGCGCAGGCGGUUAUGUAAGACAGAGGUGAAAUCCCCGGGCUCAACCUGGGAACUGCCUUUGUGACUGCAUAGCUGGAGUACGGUAGAGGGGGAUGGAAUUCCGCGUGUAGCAGUGAAAUGCGUAGAUAUGCGGAGGAACACCGAUGGCGAAGGCAGUCCCCUGGACCUGUACUGACGCUCAUGCACGAAAGCGUGGGGAGCAAACA
Molecule: ribosomal RNA, 427 nt
Filed under: uncultured Comamonadaceae bacterium
Lineage: Bacteria; Pseudomonadati; Pseudomonadota; Betaproteobacteria; Burkholderiales; Comamonadaceae
Description: partial 16S ribosomal RNA
Rfam family: Bacterial small subunit ribosomal RNA
Source: RNAcentral